RNAcentral lists this ribosomal RNA (879 nucleotides) under uncultured bacterium. Its description in RNAcentral is "SSU rRNA". It matches the Rfam family "Bacterial small subunit ribosomal RNA", at positions 524 to 1381 of the family's 1533-position model. The record is from RNAcentral.
GACGAACCGAGCGAACGUUGUUCGGAAUCACUGGGCUUAAAGGGCGCGUAGGCGGGCUGCCAAGUCUGUGGUGAAAUCCUCCAGCUUAACUGGAGAACGGCCGUGGAUACUGGCGGUCUCGAGGAAGGUAGGGGCGUGCGGAACUGUGCGUGGAGCGGUGAAAUGCGUUGAUAUGCACAGGAACUCCGGUGGCGAAGGCGGCACGCUGGACCUUUUCUGACGCUGAGGCGCGAAAGCCAGGGGAGCGAACGGGAUUAGAUACCCCGGUAGUCCUGGCCCUAAACGUUGAGAACUAGGUAGUAGACUUGACUUGGGUUUACUGCCGAAGCAAAAGUGCUAAGUUCUCCGCCUGGGGAGUAUGGCCGCAAGGCUGAAACUCAAAGAAAUUGACGGGGGCUCACACAAGCGGUGGAGCAUGUGGCUUAAUUCGAGGCUACGCGAAGAACCUUAUCCUGGACUUGACAUGUUCGAAAGAGAUAGCAGGUAGAACCCGGAAACGGGGACGAACGGUAUCCAAUCCGGAAGCUAUCACAGGUGCUGCAUGGCUGUCGUCAGCUCGUGUCGUGAGAUGUCGGGUUAAGUCCCUUAACGAGCGAAACCCUUACCAUUAGUUGCCAGCGGGUCAUGCCGGGGACUCUAGUGGGACUGCCGGUGUCAAACCGGAGGAAGGUGGGGAUGACGUCAAGUCCUCAUGGCCUUUAUGUUCAGGGCUGCACACGUGCUACAAUGGCGUGAACAAAGGGAAGCAAAGUUGCGAAACUGAGCCAAUCCCAAAAAACACGCCCCAGUUCAGAUCGAAGGCUGCAACUCGCCUUCGUGAAGUUGGAAUCGCUAGUAAUCGCGGGUCAGCAACACCGCGGUGAAUGUGUUCCUGAGCCU